AUGAACGCUGGCGGCGUGCUUAACACAUGCAAGUCGAACGAUGAAGCCCAGCUUGCUGGGUGGAUUAGUGGCGAACGGGUGAGUAACACGUGAGUAACCUGCCCUUGACUCUGGGAUAAGCCUGGGAAACUGGGUCUAAUACUGUAUAUGACUUCUCAUCGCAUGGUGGGGGGUGGAAAGAUUUAUUGGUCUUGGAUGGACUCGCGGCCUAUCAGCUUGUUGGUGAGGUAAUGGCUCACCAAGGCGACGACGGGUAGCCGGCCUGAGAGGGUGACCGGCCACACUGGGACUGAGACACGGCCCAGACUCCUACGGGAGGCAGCAGUGGGGAAUAUUGCACAAUGGGCGCAAGCCUGAUGCAGCGACGCCGCGUGAGGGAUGACGGCCUUCGGGUUGUAAACCUCUUUCAGUAGGGAAGAAGCGAGAGUGACGGUACCUGCAGAAGAAGCGCCGGCUAACUACGUG
RNAcentral lists this ribosomal RNA (465 nucleotides) under uncultured bacterium. RNAcentral describes it as "partial 16S ribosomal RNA". It matches the Rfam family "Bacterial small subunit ribosomal RNA", at positions 29 to 507 of the family's 1533-position model. The record is from RNAcentral.